GGCCUUAUAUUCACGAAGUGAUAUCAGAUUGCAAAUCUGGAGGGGUAAUGAAUUAUUAUUAAGGCCU
This 67-nucleotide transfer RNA is filed under the name Mastotermes darwiniensis (giant northern termite). Its description in RNAcentral is "tRNA-Cys". Lineage: Eukaryota; Metazoa; Arthropoda; Insecta; Blattodea; Mastotermitidae. The record is from RNAcentral.